CCCACACUCAAGAGUUGGGAACCACACAAGGCUGUGGCUACAGGAGUCAUGGCUGUCACACACCUUCACCCACCCUCCCAAGGGCAAGCUCCAGGACAGCAGGAACCUCACCUGCCUUGUCCUCCUCCCCACCCCGGUGCCUGACACAUGGCGGAUGUUCAGUAUAUGUUUUUAGAUGGAUGAACGAGUGACAACUAUAAUAACUGCUCUGCUGACCUCAUGUGGUGGUGAGGAUCCCCCAUUGUGCCUGCCUCAGGAGAGUGAAUAAGAUAACCGUUGAGGGAAGCCAGAUGGAUGUGAAGGAUUAUGAUAACAACCCAACGCCAGGGGGCGGAGGAGUCAAAUGGUGACCAGGGUGAGCAGAGAGGCUGCAGAGAAAGGACCAGCUCGCUACUCCUUUCCACGGAAUCUGAGGAGCUGAGAUUCC
RNAcentral lists this long non-coding RNA (427 nucleotides) under Equus caballus (horse). RNAcentral describes it as "lncRNA (ENSECAG00000048798.1)". The record is from RNAcentral. Lineage: Eukaryota; Metazoa; Chordata; Mammalia; Perissodactyla; Equidae.